RNAcentral lists this long non-coding RNA (396 nucleotides) under Accipiter nisus (Eurasian sparrowhawk). Its description in RNAcentral is "lncRNA (ENSANIG00000001714.1)". Lineage: Eukaryota; Metazoa; Chordata; Aves; Accipitriformes; Accipitridae. The record is from RNAcentral.
AUGAGAAAACAUAAUACCAAGUUACAGAUUUGCCUAAAAACCAGCCACUUCCAUUUUUCCUUUUUUUUUCUGUUGGGGGAUUUAAUCCAGAGCAAAAAAGAGAGAUCUCUGGAAGCUGGUCUCACAGCAAAGAUGUAUGAUGCUGUCAUGUAUCUAUGUAUGGCUAUUAUGGUGGCACUCAAAUUCAAAUGUCAUCUGCGUGAGAUGAAUUCACUCUUGGUGUUUGCCUCUGCCUCCCGUUCUUCUGCAACAGUAGAGUCCAGCAUUGACUAAAGUGUGUACAGUUGUGGAGACAGGGAAGAUUCCUCACUAAUGAAGACCUGCUGUUUUGUAAUGCUGCAACAUGUUCCAGCCUAUUCCAGUGCCAUGUGCAUCACGUGGGAUCUGGGCUGACAG